Molecule: ribosomal RNA, 475 nt
Filed under: uncultured bacterium
Lineage: Bacteria
Description: partial 16S ribosomal RNA
Rfam family: Bacterial small subunit ribosomal RNA
Source: RNAcentral
GAUGAACGCUAGCGGCAGGCCUAACACAUGCAAGUCGAGGGAUAAGCCUUCGGGCUAAGACCGGCGCACGGGUGCGUAACGCGUAUACAAUCUGCCUUUUAUCCGGGGGAUAGCCCGAAGAAAUUUGGAUUAAUACCCUAUGGUAUAAGAGCACGGCAUCGUGCACUUAUUAAAGCUACAGCGGUAAAAGAUGAGUAUGCGUUCUAUUAGCUAGUUGGAGAGGUAACGGCUCCCCAAGGCGACGAUAGAUAGGGGUUCUGAGAGGGAUGUCCCCCACACUGGUACUGAGAUACGGACCAGACUCCUACGGGAGGCAGCAGUGAGGAAUAUUGGACAAUGGUCGGAAGACUGAUCCAGCCAUGCCGCGUGCAGGAUGACGGCCUUAUGGGUUGUAAACUGCUUUUGUAAGGGAAGAAUAAGGAGUACGCGUACUUUGAUGACGGUACCUUACGAAUAAGCAUCGGCUAACUCCGUG